RNAcentral lists this long non-coding RNA (277 nucleotides) under Gossypium barbadense (sea-island cotton). Its description in RNAcentral is "long non-coding RNA (GBAR_LNC004552)". Lineage: Eukaryota; Viridiplantae; Streptophyta; Magnoliopsida; Malvales; Malvaceae. The record is from RNAcentral.
AAAUGAAAGGGAAAUCAAUAGAUUUUUGAGAGGUUGGCCGAGUUUCAUGCUUUAUUUGUGGAAGAAAUUCAACAUUGAACACCUCACAUUUUUAACAAAACAUGUUAUUGCAUUGUUUUUCACUUCAAUGCACAAUAGAAAUUUUGAGAAAUAAAGAGAUAAUUUGUUUGUUUGUGUUCUACGUACAAUAUUUUUCCUUCUAAAUACAACAUUUUUAAUCUUGAUUUCAAGAUUUCAUUUUAGGGUUCUUGAGUUUGAAUUUUGACACAGAGGAAAG